Unclassified non-coding RNA from Equus asinus (donkey), 281 nucleotides. It matches the Rfam family "Metazoan signal recognition particle RNA". From Rfam's summary of the family: The signal recognition particle (SRP) is a universally conserved ribonucleoprotein. It is involved in the co-translational targeting of proteins to membranes. The record is from Ensembl. Lineage: Eukaryota; Metazoa; Chordata; Mammalia; Perissodactyla; Equidae.
GCUUGCCUAGAGCCCCAGCUCCGUGGGAAGCUGAGGCGGGACGAUCUCUUGAGCCCAGGAGUUCUGGACUGUAGUGUGCUGUGCCAGUCGGGUGUCUGCACUAAGUUUGGCAUCAGAUAGUGACCUCCUGGGAGCAGGGGACCACCAGGUUGCUUAGGGAGGAGUGAACCAGCCCAGGUCAGAAACAGCAGGUCAAAACUCCUGUGCCGAUCAGCAGUGGGAUCAGGCUGUGAAUAGCCACUGCACUCCAGCUGGGGCAACAUAGCCAGACUCCAUCUCUU